Molecule: long non-coding RNA, 1396 nt
Organism: Oncorhynchus tshawytscha (Chinook salmon)
Lineage: Eukaryota; Metazoa; Chordata; Actinopteri; Salmoniformes; Salmonidae
Exons: 3
Source: RefSeq, a predicted model, not a curated record
GUGUGUGUUUGUCGGGAGGUGUGGGGUGUAUGCGUGGGGGGGGGAGAGCUAGCAGUAGGAGGACUGUGGUGUACCUGGACUCUCUCUCUCCAGCUGGGGAAGAGAAGCGUUAACGGAAGGGGCGAGGUUAAAAGGGGUGAAGGGGCUGGUGCACAACUCCAUUUUCCCUUUCGCCGAAUUUCCACAGUCUCUUCUUUCUUUCGCUUUUAUUCAACAGAGUGAGUCAGUGAAAGAGAGCAAUAGAGAGAGAGAGAGAGAGAGAUAGAGAGAGUGAAAGAGAGAGAAUCAAGACAAUUUUUUUAAGAGUCGAUCUUGGCUUUCUUACAAACAGAUGUUGCCUGUCAUUUGGCCGUUAAGCAGGCACCCGGUUAGUAGAACACAGAGGUUUUACUGCCUGAAAAUAUUAGUUCUUUCUUAUUUGUCGUUUCAUUAUCAUGAUGAAAAUCGAACUCUUAUAAACACGGAAAUCUGUCUUUCUAUUUCAUUUUUUUUUUGUCUUUUAGUUCUCUCUGUCAGCUUUCCUUUCCUUCCUCUUCCUUCCUCUCUCUCUGCCUAUUUUUCUUUGUCUCACUCUUACUCUCUUUUCUAUUGCCUUUUUGAUGGGUUCGUUAGUUGCAUGUUUGUGUUUUGUUUCCUUGUGGGCCACAGUGGACCUUCUGCCAAGUGCUGUAGGCGCCCUGAGUAGAGAGAGAAAACAUUUGGAAACAAUAAAAAGACAAUCGGCUGCAACAAGGGACAAGGGCUGGUGCCUCCUCAUUACGAACCAGACCUGGACCCAGUCGGUAUCAGAUGUGGUGACCCCACUUGGUGACCCUGCCCGCCUGUGGGGAAAACAACCUGUGGUUACCAUGUUGGUUCACAGCAAAAACUUGACCUUUUUCAAAUGUAUUUUUCUUGCUGUCUGCUUGUUUUGGUAAAUUACAAAACUACAUUUAAGAAAAGUACAACAUGUCUAAAGAUUACUUUUCAACAUUGCCUGCUCCCGAGCGUUCUCACUAGUUAGAAAUACGUAAUAUUGUAUGUUGUAGGGGUUCCCUCAUGCCCCUUUUCAUGAUGGUGAUAGCAGCCAUGUGAGUGCUAGCUAGGUAGCGACCGGAACAUUAAGCUAGCCAAGACCAACAACACAAACAAAAGGACUAUACUAAACAAGUUAAAUGUCUUGCCUGUGAUGAAAUGUUUUCCACACACAUAGCUACGUAUAGUCUACUUGGACACCGCGUCCCCACAUUUCCCACUCUCCCACUCUGAAUACCCUGAAGCCUGAAGUGUGUGUAUGUGCUGUGUGCAAGUGUUAAACUUCAAGAACAUUGACAAGAGGCAGUAGGGAGCAUUAAUAAGCUGUAUGUUACAGUGACUUUUGUGUUGUUUAUAGUGCCAUUAAAACAAUUCUGAUGCA